UAUUAAAAAAUUUAUUUAUUUUUAUUGUUAAAAAUUAACUGAUUGAUAGAAUAAUUAAAUAGUUACACAUAGUGUGUUAUGUGCACGUCAUGCUGACAUACAUGAAUCGAUUUUUAAUAGUAAAAAUGGAUGAAGUUUUUAACA
Molecule: non-coding RNA, 144 nt
Organism: Gossypium arboreum
Lineage: Eukaryota; Viridiplantae; Streptophyta; Magnoliopsida; Malvales; Malvaceae
Source: Rfam